RNAcentral lists this small RNA (28 nucleotides) under Bombyx mori (domestic silkworm). Its description in RNAcentral is "piRNA piR-bmo-1998403". The record is from RNAcentral. Lineage: Eukaryota; Metazoa; Arthropoda; Insecta; Lepidoptera; Bombycidae.
UAACUGAACUGCUAUACGAUAACUUGAC